RNAcentral lists this long non-coding RNA (399 nucleotides) under Gossypium barbadense (sea-island cotton). RNAcentral describes it as "long non-coding RNA (GBAR_LNC005789)". Lineage: Eukaryota; Viridiplantae; Streptophyta; Magnoliopsida; Malvales; Malvaceae. The record is from RNAcentral.
UGAUUUUAAUAUAUAUCAAGAUGAAACGUCGCACGUUUUUACAAAAAUUGUCGGUCCAUUGCGCCUUUGAGCUUUGGUGACUAAAAGAUAGGAAUGAAGAGCCAGAAAUGACACGGUUUAGUUAAAGGGAGGCCAAUUAACAGCUAAAGAACAUUCGGAUGGAGUAAUUAAGUUGUUGGAAGAAAAAUUAAAGCAGCAAAUUAAAUGCAAGGUAGACGUUGUUCUCAUGCAAGUCGUUUUUGGAAAUCUAUGGAAGUGUGUGCCCCAAGUAGGUAAAGAAGGGAUCCAAUUUUCAGGGUGAUGAGGGCGUUGUGUCAAAGUUUCCACCCUCCAUUAAUUGGCCUUUGUUUCAUUUGUUGGGGUUUUCUUCUCUACCUCACUUGUACAAUCUCCUUCCCU